Long non-coding RNA from Glycine soja, 2680 nucleotides. RefSeq lists it as uncharacterized. The record is from RefSeq and is a predicted model, not a curated record. NCBI's taxonomy places the organism in Eukaryota, Viridiplantae, Streptophyta, Magnoliopsida, Fabales, Fabaceae. The transcript has 6 exons.
AAAUUGGCCUUUGCAUUUUCCUAGUACUUUCCUGGUUUCCUUUGUGACUUUGGUAUGCUUAUGUCAAUUAGCUUAGCAUUUGAUUCAUCUAUGUCUGUUUUACCAAGUAUCUAAUAUGAGCUAGAAAAUAUCUUUAAUGAGUAUUAUUUGAACAACGUAAUGUUAGAGCUGAUGCAUUACCCUAUCUUAUUAUAAAGUAUUACAAUUAUUAUAUGAAAAGUCACUUUAAGAUAAUUUUUAUUGUUUUUAUUUUUUUAGUGACAUUAAAUUGAAACAUGUUAUUCUCUUUUAUCUUCUUUUUUUCCAUCGUUGUUUGGUCCUUGUGUUUGCUUUGUUGCUUUUUUUUGGAACCGAGGUCUUCAUUUAGAUUUGUAUUAAUUGUGCCUCAUUUAGAUGUAAGAAAUGCAUUUAAUUAAAUGAUUUAGAGCUACAUAAUUUUAUGGAUCUGGAAACUCAUUUGUUCUCCAUAUUUUUUCUUACUAGUUUUAUGUCUUGGUCAAUGGACUUGUUCCUUUAUUUGUUAUUUUCAAUCACAGUGUGAAGGGAAAGGUGCAAGCCUACUAUUAAUCUCAAUAUUUGAGCAUUUCUUCAUGCUUUGUUUCCAUUAAAUGUCAUCAGGAAUUUAAGAAUUUAGGACAGGUAUAAAAUUUUCACCUAAAAUUAUGUAUCUAAGCACCUCAGAUUUCAACAUUCUAAGAUGCAUCAUUAUUUUACUAUACCUGUCUUGGAGUUGGAAUAUGGUUAGACGAGUUGCUGAAGACCUACAUGAACUCCUCACAAAUUUUAAAUUGAUGGAUAGAUUUAUUUUUUUAAGAAUUUGAUGUUCACUUGUUUUGUUUUGCUGUCUCCAUAAGUUCAGGCUCUUGAGGGGCUAUCCAUGUGUACUUCAAAUACACAGGCCUAUAUACAUAGGCCAUGAGUUGGAAUAUGGCAAGACUGCAGUGCCUUGAGUUAUCCAAUUUUUGUGAUUGUUCUAUAUAACAUAUGUCAGUAAGUGUUCACCAUUUGACAACUAUUAUAUAUUAAUGUGCUCUGUUUAUUGGAGAGGCUAGGACAUAGUUGAACCUCCUGGUUUGCUUUCCCUAUCUUGGAUGCUAGAAAUUAUGGUACUAAAAUAGCUUUCCUAUGUAACAAGGUAUCUAUAUGAUAAAAAAAGUUGAGUUGUAUUCUUCAUAUCAUAUAAGCUAUAACUGGUAGCAUUUAAGAAUUAAGACUAAUUGGUCUCUACUAUCUGUGAAAAUCAUUCAUGUAUUGUUGUUGGCAUAGUUGGAUAAUUUUGGAUAUGUAGAUUGUCAUCGAUACAUGUUGUGCAACUUUUGCUUAAAUUCAAAAGAGAGGCAAAGACUUUUGGGCCGAAUUUGAGUUGUAUCUUAUAGAUAUUCUUGUUGGGCUGGUUGUUAGUGUUGCUUUGGUAGGUAUGUUGGCACCCUAUGCUCGAAUAGGGAAACCAUCAAUAUCUAGUGGGUUCCUUGGUAGAAUACAUAAAGCUUAUGCAGCCUUGCCUAGCAGUGUAUUUGAAGUAGAAAGUCCAGGAAAUAGGUUUUCUGUAUAACAGAGACUUAGAACAUACUUCUACAAGGGUAUAAUGUAUGGAGCUGAUGGAUUUGGAUGUGGUAUUAUAGGCCAAGGCAUUGCAAAUUUGAUCUUGACUGCAAAAUGGAGCAUAAAGACAUAAGAAGAAGACAUACAUGUGCCACCACUUGUGAAGAGUGUUGCUCUUUGUGGUAUGAUCUUGGUAAUAAAGACAUAAAAUCGUCUUAGAAGACAUACAUGUGCCAUCACAUGACCUCGCAAUUUUGACAAAAAAAGUUUCAGUGUGGGGUGCUCUAAAACAUUGCACUGGGAUGGCUUUCUUCUGCAUAGGGUCUGGAAUUCAAUGACGGUCAACACAAGACUCGUCGUUAUCUAUUGAGUUGACCAAUACAACGACGGUCACAAGUACAGCCGUCAUGAACGUAUGAUGAACGUAGUACAACGACGUUCUUUGGCAGCCCGACGUUGACACCAACAAACUCAACGACAGUGGGACAUACACAACAUCGUUGAAAAUGAUGAAAACAACGACAGCCUAUGUUAAUGGCCGACGUUGAAGUCAUUACUACAACGACGGCGUUUACCCAUGCACGACGUUGAUGAGUAACCUACAACGAUGACAUUUAUGUAUAAACGACGUUGAUAUGCUGAAUACAACGGCGGCGUUUAUGACAACCGCGACGUUGAAAGCUUAAGACAACGACGGAUAUUAAUCAAUACUCAUCGUUGCUUUCAUGUUUACGAUGACUGUCCUAAAGUGGGUCUGACGUUGCCAUUUUUUAUUACAACGACGGGUAUGGGUGCACCGUCGUAAUCGUUGUCGGGAAACAACGACACCUGUAGCAAAGACGGUGCCUGGCCCGACGUAGAAAUAGCAUUUCGACCGAUGUAGAUCCUUACAUUUCUAGCAGAGAGGUUACUUGCCAAACAACACGUAUCCCUACUGCUAACCAUAUGAAAGAGCAGGAAGUAUGCUUUUCAUUUUGAAAUAUUAAAAAAAAUGAACGGCUAAGUCUCACGUUCUUGAGUGAGGAAAAUUGUGAGAAUUUAUCAGUAAAUUUUGAAAAUGCAAAAUUAAGUUAUUUACAGAAAUGUGGUCGUGUGUUUUAAUUAUAUUUUUUUACUUACAAUUAUUAUAAUUUCCAAA